RNAcentral lists this ribosomal RNA (780 nucleotides) under uncultured bacterium. RNAcentral's name for it is "bacterial SSU rRNA". It matches the Rfam family "Bacterial small subunit ribosomal RNA", at positions 713 to 1504 of the family's 1533-position model. The record is from RNAcentral.
UUGCGAAGGCAGCUUUCUGGAUCAUUACUGACACUGAGGAACGAAAGCAUGGGUAGCGAAGAGGAUUAGAUACCCUCGUAGUCCAUGCCGUAAACGAUGUGUGUUAGACGUUGGAAAUUUAUUUUCAGUGUCGCAGCGAAAGCGAUAAACACACCGCCUGGGGAGUACGACCGCAAGGUUAAAACUCAAAUGAAUUGACGGGGACCCGCACAAGUAGUGGAGCAUGUGGUUUAAUUCGAAGAUACGCGCAGAACCUUACCAACACUUGACAUGUUCGUCGCGACUCUAAGAGAUUAGAGUUUUCGGUUCGGCCGGACGAAACACAGGUGCUGCAUGGCUGUCGUCAGCUCGUGUCGUGAGAUGUUGGGUUAAGUCCCGCAACGAGCGCAACCCUCACUUUUAGUUGCCAUCAUUAAGUUGGGCACUCUGAAAGAACUGCCAGUGAUAAGCUGGAGGAAGGUGGGGAUGACGUCAAGUCCUCAUGGCCCUUACGUGUUGGGCUACACACGUGCUACAAUGGUAUCUACAACAGGACGCAAAACGGCAACGUUAAGCAAAUCCCGAAAAGAUACCUCAGUUCGGAUUGCACUCUGCAACUCGAGUGCAUGAAGCUGGAAUUACUAGUAAUCGUGGAUCAGCGUGCCACGGUGAAUGCGUUCCCGGGUCUUGUACACACCGCCCGUCACACCAUGGGAGUUGGUUCUACCUUAAGGCAAGGUUUAAUACCCUUGACCACGGUAUAGUCAGCGACUGGGGUAAAGUCGUAACAAGGUAACCGUA